AAAAAAGAAAAGAAAAGGCUUCAGCCUUUCUUUUUUUACCCGAGUCUCUCUCUCUCUCCUCAGAAAACCUCUCUCUCUCUCUCUCUCUCCUCUGCGUAUUACUGUUGUCGACGACGCAGGAGUACUUUCCGGCCACCAUUUUUAGCCACGCGCCGGACCGUUGGAUUCAGAGGCCUCCGAACUAUCGACCCACGCGGGAAUCUAGAGCUCACUCGCCGAUUAAACGCCUCAACCACUCGAUUUAAGUUCGGCCACCCCGCGACUUCAAAGUUGCGAUUCGGCCACCUCGGGCAUCCGUUUGCCGAUCCGUCACCACCAUCGUGCUCCUCGUGUUGUGGGCUUCAAAACCCAAUAACUUGUUCCUACAUCUACCAUAGUUGGGUGGUGGGCCCACCACGAGCCACCGCGAUCCACAGUAGACCGACGGUCGAAACUUAGUGUUCGGGGUUUUGAAGUACGUUUUGAGUCUCAGAAAAUCAUCGUUUGACUUGUUGUUGAACCCGAUCAUUUUGGAUUUGUAUGGAUUUAAUUGAUUGACUCUUGGUGAGCCGUUUUAAAAUAAGCUAAGGACCUAAGGUGUGGCUUUAGCUGUUGAGCAACUUGUGGAGCACGGACUCAGUAGCAAUGCAAUAAUGGUUUAGAGUUUUCAUAUGGCUGCCUUAAAUUUAAAGUAUUCAUACGUGUAAUAAUUUCUUCUAAUAAGUUUAUAUAAAAGUUUAAAAUUUUUCUG
Humulus lupulus (European hop) is the source of this 730-nucleotide long non-coding RNA. RefSeq lists it as uncharacterized. Lineage: Eukaryota; Viridiplantae; Streptophyta; Magnoliopsida; Rosales; Cannabaceae. The transcript is spliced from 3 exons. The record is from RefSeq and is a predicted model, not a curated record.